This 460-nucleotide ribosomal RNA is filed under the name uncultured bacterium. RNAcentral's name for it is "SSU rRNA". It matches the Rfam family "Bacterial small subunit ribosomal RNA", at positions 26 to 518 of the family's 1533-position model. The record is from RNAcentral.
AGAAUCAACGCUGGCGGCGUGCCUAACACAUGCAAGUCGAACGAGAAAGGGUAGCAAUACCUGAGUAAAGUGGCGCACGGGUGAGUAACACGUGACUAACCUACCUUUUAGUGGGGGGAUAACCUAGGGAAACCUGGGCUAAUACCGCAUAAUACCUACGGGUCAAAGCAGCAAUGCGCUGAAAGAGGGGGUCGCGGUCGAUUAGUUAGUUGGCAGGGUAAUGGCCUACCAAGACUGUGAUCGAUAUCCGGCCUGAGAGGGCGCACGGACACACUGGAACUGAAACACGGUCCAGACUCCUACGGGAGGCAGCAGUGGGAAUUUUGCGCAAUGGGGGAAACCCUGACGCAGCAACGCCGCGUGGAGGAUGAAGUCCCUUGGGACGUAAACUCCUUUCGAUCGGGACGAUAAUGACGGUACCGGAAGAAGAAGCCCCGGCUAACUUCGUGCCAGCAGCCGC